RNAcentral lists this ribosomal RNA (224 nucleotides) under uncultured bacterium. RNAcentral's name for it is "partial 16S ribosomal RNA". It matches the Rfam family "Bacterial small subunit ribosomal RNA", at positions 116 to 334 of the family's 1533-position model. The record is from RNAcentral.
CGUAAAGAACCUGCCUCAUAGACUGGGACAACUAUUGGAAACGAUAGCUAAUACCGGAUAACAGUAUUUCUCGCAUGAGAGAUAUUUAAAAGUUGGUUAUGCUAACACUAUGAGAUGGCUUUGCGGUGCAUUAGCUAGUUGGUGGGGUAAAGGCCUACCAAGGCGACGAUGCAUAGCCGACCUGAGAGGGUGAUCGGCCACACUGGGACUGAGACACGGCCCAG